RNAcentral lists this ribosomal RNA (409 nucleotides) under uncultured bacterium. RNAcentral describes it as "bacterial SSU rRNA". It matches the Rfam family "Bacterial small subunit ribosomal RNA", at positions 509 to 916 of the family's 1533-position model. The record is from RNAcentral.
CAGCAGCCGCGGUAAUUCGGAGUGUGCAAGCGUUACUCGGAAUCACUGGGCAUAAAGAGCACGUAGGCGGGGAUGCGUGUCCGUGGUGAAAUCCCCCAGCUCAACUGGGGAACUGCUUCGGAAACUGUGUCUCUUGAGGACGAGAGGGGAGAGUGGAACUUCUGGUGGAGCGGUGAAAUGCGUAGAUAUCAGAAGGAACACCGGUGGCGAAAGCGACUCUCUGGCUCGUAUCUGACGCUAAGGUGCGAAAGCUUGGGUAGCAAACAGGAUUAGAUACCCUGGUAGUCCAAGCCGUAAACGAUGGGCACUAGGCAGGGGGGGUUCCGAUAUUCUCCCUGCUGGAGCUAAUGUGUUAAGUGCCCCGCCUGGGAAGUACAGUCGCAAGGCCGAAACUUAAAGGAAUUGACGG